RNAcentral lists this ribosomal RNA (550 nucleotides) under uncultured Acidobacteriota bacterium. RNAcentral describes it as "bacterial SSU rRNA". It matches the Rfam family "Bacterial small subunit ribosomal RNA", at positions 355 to 897 of the family's 1533-position model. Lineage: Bacteria; Pseudomonadati; Acidobacteriota. The record is from RNAcentral.
UCGGGAAUUUUGGGCAAUGGGCGAAAGCCUGACCCAGCAACGCCGCGUGAAGGAUGAAAUCCCUCGGGAUGUAAACUUCGCAAGAAUGGGAAGAAUUAGUAGGGGUUAAUACCCUCUAUGAUGACGGUACCAUUUGUAAGCUCCGGCUAACUCCGUGCCAGCAGCCGCGGUAAUACGGGGGGAGCAAGCGUUGUUCGGAUUUACUGGGCGUAAAGGGCGCGUAGGCGGUCAGCACAAGUCAGUUGUGAAAUCUCCGGGCUUAACUCGGAAAGGUCAACUGAUACUGUGCGACUAGAGUGCAGAAGGGGCAACUGGAAUUCUCGGUGUAGCGGUGAAAUGCGUAGAUAUCGAGAGGAACACCUGCGGCGAAGGCGGGUUGCUGGGCUGACACUGACGCUGAUGCGCGAAAGCCAGGGGAGCGAACGGGAUUAGAUACCCCGGUAGUCCUGGCCUUAAACGAUGGAUGCUUGGUGUCUGGAGUUUUAUAGUCUCCGGGUGCCGUAGCUAACGCGUUAAGCAUCCCGCCUGGGGAGUACGGUCGCAAGACUGA